CCCCCGCGUGGCUCGUCGGGUGCUGAUCCACCCCUUCUCCACCCCCGCCCCGUUCACUCCUCUUCUAAAACGGAAGCCUGGCUGUGAGCCCAGGACUCCAUGGCGAGUGCCAUGGGCCUGGGUCCCUAGGCCUGCGGGGGGGGGGGGGGGGUCACACCUCCUGCCGUGGCGUGGACAGAAGACACAGGAUCCUCAGUCUCUUUUCAGACACCAGAGGACCAGAGGAGGUAGCCAGAGGAACGCAUUCUUGCUGGGGACAGAAGCAUGACCAAAGUGAGAGGAGCCUAGGAUGUCAUAGACCCAUUAACCCAGGCUAACCAGAAACUUGGUAAAGAGUGAAUGUAAUACCAGAUGGCUUCUUACUACUCUGUGAGCUAGCCUGGGCUUCUUCACACAAUGGCUUGGUUCCUCAAGAGACAAAAUGAACACUACAGAACCACUAAAGGCUGAGUUUGGAGGCCCCAGAGCGUUCGCUCGGCCACACUCUUCUGGAGAAACUGAGAUCAUAGGCUUCUGCCUCCCUCCAUAAGGAACACCAGUAAGCCACAUUUCCAUGAGAGCCUCUGGCCACCACAGCUGCUUUGCCCCAAGACAGCAAGCCAUGUCCGAUGGGAGGACAUCUUAUUUCCUGGGCCCUGUACAAGACCAUUUGUCUGGAAUCUUCUUCUUCAGAAUAAACUCUUAUUGG
Molecule: long non-coding RNA, 688 nt
Organism: Mus musculus (house mouse)
Lineage: Eukaryota; Metazoa; Chordata; Mammalia; Rodentia; Muridae
Product: predicted gene, 33587
Exons: 3
Source: RefSeq, a predicted model, not a curated record